MicroRNA precursor from Medicago truncatula (barrel medic), 201 nucleotides. It matches the Rfam family "MIR2619 microRNA precursor family". The record is from Rfam. NCBI's taxonomy places the organism in Eukaryota, Viridiplantae, Streptophyta, Magnoliopsida, Fabales, Fabaceae.
AAACAUUCCCCUAUGUAUUGGAUCUUUGGCAGUUUUGGCCCCCAAAUCCACUUUUGACUUAACAUUCGCUGACGUGGCAUCCACAAUGGUCGACACAUGGCACCUCACUUAAGGGAUGUGGGUGCCACGUCAGCGAAUGCUAAGUCAAAAGUGAACUUGGGGGCUAAAACUGCCAAAGAUCCAAUACGUAGGGGGUUGUUU